This 269-nucleotide ribosomal RNA is filed under the name uncultured Eubacteriales bacterium. RNAcentral's name for it is "uncultured Clostridiales bacterium partial 16S ribosomal RNA". It matches the Rfam family "Bacterial small subunit ribosomal RNA", at positions 73 to 339 of the family's 1533-position model. The record is from RNAcentral. Lineage: Bacteria; Bacillati; Bacillota; Clostridia; Eubacteriales.
AUUCGUCCAAUUGAAAUAGAGGACAGUGGCGGACGGGUGAGUAACGCGUGAGGAACCUGCCUUUCAGAGGGGGACAACAGUUGGAAACGACUGCUAAUACCGCAUAACACGUAGGAGUCGCAUGGCUCCAACGUCAAAGAUUUAUCGCUUCAAGAUGGCCUCGCGUCUGAUUAGCUGGUUGGCGGGGUAACGGCCCACCAAGGCGACGAUCAGUAGCCGGUCUGAGAGGAUGAACGGCCACACUGGAACUGAGACACGGUCCAGACUCC